UUGGCAGGCAGAAUAGGGCUGGACCAAUUUGGGGGAAUAACACGUAGUUAGAUGAGGUAAAUAGAAUGUUAAUGGUUUAAUACAUUCAUCUUACUUCCAGAUUUGCGAUCCAAUACAAUUUGUUGGCAAACUAUACGUAUGUUAUAAAUAAUUAAACAGAUACGAUGUCACAGUGCAAGCAAGAUAAAUCGUGAUUCAAGGGAAUUGCGUGUGGAGGUUAAGCCGUCGGCUGGACCUAGGGGGGUUGCUACAGAGAAUUACGUUUGAGGGUAAGCCAUCGGCUGGACUGGGGGUUGUUGCCGCAGCGACUCUCUCCCACUCCACUCAGAUAGAGAGAGGGGUAGUCGGCCGUGACGUCACCGUUCGGUAGUCUUUGCAGUCGGGAGCCCUUGACGCGUUCCCGACUAAGGUUCAGUCUGCUAUACCCGGAGACAAGGACUACGGACCCAGGAUCAACUGUAUAUAGAUAAACCUGCGUGAUAGGAUAUAGAACACUGAAUAAAUGCAAAUGUUAGAAA
Long non-coding RNA from Macrosteles quadrilineatus (aster leafhopper), 518 nucleotides. RefSeq lists it as uncharacterized. The record is from RefSeq and is a predicted model, not a curated record. NCBI's taxonomy places the organism in Eukaryota, Metazoa, Arthropoda, Insecta, Hemiptera, Cicadellidae. The transcript is spliced from 2 exons.